This 253-nucleotide ribosomal RNA is filed under the name uncultured bacterium. RNAcentral describes it as "partial 16S ribosomal RNA". It matches the Rfam family "Bacterial small subunit ribosomal RNA", at positions 524 to 776 of the family's 1533-position model. The record is from RNAcentral.
GACGAACUGCCCAAACGUUGUUCGGAAUCACUGGGCUUAAAGGGCGCGUAGGCGGCAGAUCAAGUCAGGGGUGAAAUCCGGCAGCUCAACUGUCGAAGUGCCUUUGAUACUGAUUUGCUCGAGGGAGAUAGGGGUCUGUGGAACUUCUGGUGGAGCGGUGAAAUGCGUUGAUAUCAGGAGGAACACCGGUGGCGAAGGCGGCAUCCUGGACCGAGAUUGACGCUGAGGCGCGAAAGCGUGGGGAGCAAACAGG